This 411-nucleotide ribosomal RNA is filed under the name uncultured bacterium. RNAcentral describes it as "bacterial SSU rRNA". It matches the Rfam family "Bacterial small subunit ribosomal RNA", at positions 355 to 776 of the family's 1533-position model. The record is from RNAcentral.
UUUGGAAUUUUGGACAAUGGGCGAAAGCCUGAUCCAGCGACGCCGCGUGGACGAUGAAGGUCUUCGGAUUGUAAAGUCCUUUUGUAAGGGAAGAAUAUUUUGACGGUACCUUACGAAUAAGAGGUUGCUAACUCUGUGCCAGCAGCAGCGGUAAUACAGAGACCUCAAGCGUUAUCCGGAAUCAUUGGGCGUAAAGCGUACCGAUAGGUGGUUAUACAAGUCAGAUGUGAAAUCUCCGAGCUCAACUCGGAAUCUGUCAUUUGAAACUGUAUGACUAGAGGGGCAAAGAGGAAGCUAGAACGAACGGUGUAGUAGUGAAAUGCGUUGAUAUCGUUCGGAAUACCGAUAGCGAAGGCAGGCUUCUGGGUGCCACCUGACACUGCUAGGACGAAAGCGUGGGGAGCGAAUGGG